AAGCAUCUCCUUCCAGUAUUUAGAUCUCCUACCUCACAUCCGUGGCUUGUUUUUCGUGUACACUAGCAGAUUUUAAUCCUUAACCGGUUUUACAUGCUAAAAAGAAAUGAACACAAACGAAUCAACACCUAGACAUAAAAAAUUUAAGAACUAUAUUUAAAUUCAAAUAGAUAUUGGUAAUAAAGACCAAGAAUUUAAGAAAGCAUAAGAUGAAUUGAAGGAAUAAAAAAACCAGAGAAAUUCAAAUAGUCAGUCCCAGUUAAAGACAAAAAUAUGUGUGGAUGCAAAGAAGAUCGAUAAUCAUGCAACACAAAUUAGGCAAGAACAUUGUUCCUUUGCACGAACCAAGUUCAAGUUCAAAAUUCAUUUGUCAAUGAAAGAAACUAAUAAAGUAUAUCUGACAGACACAUCAUAUAUUACAAACUUCAAUAAUCAACAAGAACUAUAUUCAAAUUUAUAUUUUUUAAUCCUCAACUGGAAUCAUGUUGAAAACGAACUAACGCAAGCACAUAAACGGUUACAUAUGAUAGAUCUAACAUAAAAUAAAUAACUACAUCCAAACUCAAGUAGACAUUUGUCAUGAAAGAAAGACAAAAAAUGUAGGAUAACAAAACCUAACGCAUCAAGGAUCUCCAUCCAGUAUUUAGAUAUCCUACCACACAAAGAAAUCAACACCUACACAUACAAAUUUUAAGAACAAUAUUUAAAUUCAAAUAGAUAUCAAUAAUAAAAACCAAGAAUUUAAAAAAGGAUAAGAUAAAUUAAUGAAUUCAAAAACCGGUGGAGCCUUAGUUGCUCAAAACACGCACGAUGAGGUAGAAGAUUCAACCCUUAGGCCUUAUAUAACAUACUCCAUGAUAUGGUGCAGGGCAUUAAGUGAAAAUAAUUCAAACAUCGAACACAAUUCAAUCCUUGGAGAUCAAGUAGAGAGAAAUUAAACAAUAGAGAGGAAACUCAUCAAGAAAUUAGGAUAUCCUGAGCUGCAGUCGUUUUAAACUCUUUUAGAGUUUAGGGUUUCAAAUAUCAAGUAGAAAAAAUUCAAUCAUCGAACACCAUUUAAUCCUUGGAGAUCAAGUAGAGAGAAAUUAGGGAAACAAAACAUAAUACUUCACAUCAUGUCCUACACUACACCACACAUCCAUUGCGUGCUUUCCCUGUACAGCCCAAAAAUUCAAGAAACGAAUUAGCUGUACAGCCAAAAAUUCAUGAAAACGAAAUAACCUCUUAAUAAAAAGAAGUAUAGAAAAAUGAUAAAAAUGAAGAUGCAGAUGCAGAUAAAGACUAAAAAAGACUUGGACAGUUACACAACCAAACACCACUGCAGACAAACACCAAUAAACAAAUCAUAAUCCAAUCCUUAUUUUCGGUGAUCAAUACCAGAUAAAUUAAAUAAUAGAAAGGAGACUAAAACAAGACUUGGAUCAAUUGGCCUUUCUAAACUAUUAUGUUUUUCAUUUCAUCGAUAGACAAAACAAAUCUCAAAACCAAGUCACCAGCAGAAAAGGGAUAAAGGAAUUUGAUCAAAAGAUUCAAAACUUGCCAUCAUCACAAAGAAUCACAUUCGGCGUAAAUGAAUCACAAUCCAAUAAAAGCACAUUAAUCACUUACAAAUAAUUUUUCUAUCCCACGACGCAAACAUCAUGUAAUUCUACAAAACCUUAUAGAGAAUCACAACAAUAACCGAAGCAAUACUAACAAAACUGAUCUUGGAUAUAUAUGUAAUACUAACCAAUGACUAAAUCUAAUAACCCAGCAACCAGAAACUAAAUCUAAUAACCCAGCAACCAGAAACACAGUGUUAGGGUACAAUCGAGAUGGAUUGAAAACGAAAGGAAAUGCAAAACUUACGAUGUUAGGGCACAAUCAAGAACACGGUCGUACUCCGGUCGCAAUGCUUGAAUGCUCAACAGAGAGAGUACUUCGGUCGCAAUGCUUGAAUGCUCAACAGAGAGAGUACUCCGGUCGCAAUGUGAGAAUGUUGUUGAUGCUGAGGAAAAGUGGAGUGAAGUGAGUAUUGCAUGGAGAGAAUUGCUUCAGAAUUGAAAAAUGAAAGAAGAAAAAGAAAAGAAGGGAUUAAAGUAAAGCAAAAAUAAAAAUUAAUUAUUUGUGUGUAAUUUGCAUGGGCUUAACCUUCUUAUUAUUUAAAUUUAAUUUUAAAACUUUUAACGUGGGCUUAACCUUCAAAUAUUUAAAUUUUAAUUAUUUUUAUAAUUUUAGUAGCUGCCAUUUCAACAACGCAACCAUUAUUAUUAUUUUUUUUUUGAAGUUUACGUGAGAAUAACACACGCUUUCCUCACACCUUAUUUAAUUUAUUUUAGGUUUAAUGGAUACUAUAUAGUGUCCACUUAUGGCCUUCAAUAUUUGUUUGCAGCUAAAUUAAGAUUUCUUUGUAAUGAAAUAACUUUUUUUUUACCACCAAAAGGAAUUUAGAAAAAACGAGAAAUUGAACAAUAAGAUGAACGAUGUGAUAAAGACCAAAUAAAAAUAUAUUAAGAAUAAAAUCAUUUUAGUGUUACUUAUAAAAGAAUAGUACACAUCAGAUUUCUCUGGUUACUGAUAAUAGAAUUUAUAUAAUAAAUAAAUUAUUCAUACGAGAUUACAUAAAACUAACUCAAAUUUAACCAUAGAUUGAUGACAGCUUCAUAUAUUGGAGUUUUUUUACGUGAAUUUUUUAUUAUUAUUAAGACUCUUAGGACCAAUCAAACAAUAGAACACAGUUUGAAGAGUCUUAUCAUGUACGCAACGAAGUACCAAAUAAAAUUUUGAGAUGUGUUACAACUAUACCUGGUAAAAGUGGGAUAGUCCAACCUCAUUAAACUCUUCAAGAAAAAAAUGUGAUCAUAUAGACUACUCCAUAAUUUCAACAAACACCAAUUUUCAGGUUUAGUUCCAUUCUAUAUUAUAACAUUUCAUUUUCACUUAGAAAAAAUAAAUUCACCUCCACACUUACAACUUUAUCUACUUAAACCAAUUUAAUCCAACUACGUGUUAAGAAUAUAAGUAUAAAUUUGAGUCUCAUUUAAUAAAUAUAAGAAGUUGAAUAACAAAUAACUAUGAAUAAAUAUAAAAAGUUGAAUAACAAAUAACUAAUCUUAAGUUUAGCACAAAACACAAUUAGUUCAACUAAAAACUUACAAAAAAUAUUGGAAGCAUCAAUGGAGCUUAUUGCAAUAAAAAAAAAUCUAAACAAAACAUUGUUUUGUUAAAAUGUGCAUCUAUUAGUUAAUAAGUUUAUUAUAAAACUUGUAUUGAUUUUCAUUUUCACUCAAAUUAUUUUAUUUUUUUAUAUCUUUAAUCAUGUAACGACAUGUUAUAUUCUUUUGUAGGAUAUCAUAUGAACCCGAGGGAUAAUUAAGACAAAGGUUUGGAUUUCUAAAAAUAAUAUUAAUAAUGCAAAUAAUAUUAAUAAUCUAAAUAAUAUUUAUAAAAAAAUUAUACUAGACAUUACAAACAUCUCACUUAUAUUGACAUUUCAAAUUUCAACCACCUCUAUUGAAAAAAAAAAUUAUUAAACAAGUAAAAAAAAAUACAAACAAGUACGAGAAAUUAAAACAAAAUCCAUACUAACCAUAAAAUACAUCAAAACUAAACAAGAGAAACAUAGUUAAUUUAUACCUAUUAUGGAAAAUGUUCAAGAAUAUAUUAAAAUAAUAUAUUAAAAUACAGUCUAUUAUACCAAAUAAAGUCUUACCUAUAAAGAAAGUCUAAAUUGACAGAUUUAUCAUUACCCCUCUUAAAAUAUGAAAGACAUACUUUUACAAUAAAUAAGACAUUUAUUUCAUUUAUUCUUAAUAAAUCAUCAAGUCACAUGAGUCAUAGAAGGAAAAGCAAAGCAAACUAAUAUGAUUCACACUCUUACCAUAAUAAAUUAUAAACCAAUGUAAAUAACAUUUAAUGAGGGAUAAAUUUUUUCAAUAAAUAAUAAUAUUUUUUAAUUUAUUUUUAGUUAUUUGUGAAUCUCAUUUCGAUUUGAUAUUUAAUUUGAGUGUCAUAUUGUCAUUAACCAAUAUUUAAUUGUUUUUUCUCUUAUUCUAUUAUUGUGUCAUUCCAUUUGGAGCAAUAGAGGGGCUAGUUUAGUGUAUGUGUUGGCAUUUGAUUUGUUCCUUUUCGGUAUGUUCGUACAAGGUAAAAUCGUAAAAAGGAAAAAUUAGAAAACUGUCUUGUUAGAGUAUUGUGUUAGCAUAAUAUUGAUCUCAAAAUAAGGUUAUUUUGUAUGUUAUUGUUUUAUAAAUCUCAAAACAAAUUUUGCAGGUUCAAGAAAAAGCUUUGGAAUAUGGAAAUUAAAUAUAAAUAUUUAUCAAAGAAUAGAAAAAUACUUCAAGUUAGCAUGUUCCUCAAUUGGAAUAUCGAUCUCAAAAUAAGUUUAUUUUUGUACUUCACUAUUUUAUAAAUCUCAAAAAAAAAUUGCAGGUUCAAGAAAAAGCUUCGGAAUAACAAAAUUAAAUUUAAAUAUUUAUCAAAGGAUAAAAAAAAAAUUAAAAAAAAAAUACUACGAUCAAGUUCAUUUUCUUGAAAACUUUACGAGCUCUAAAAUAAAUAAAAAAUACAACUAAUUAUUCAGAAAUUUAUGAACUUGGAAAUUUUUAAUUUUCAUUAAGAAUAAUUAUUUUUUAUGAUAUGUUAUUUGCAAUUAAUUAAUCUAGUAAAAAAUUACAAUCAAAUAACGAGACUAUUGAUAAAUUAAAAGGUAUUCGUUUAUUUUAUUUCUGUAAAUUAUAGGAAAAAUGAAUUUGAAAAUGCAUUGUCUUCUGCUAAAGAAAUUGCUUUUGAAAUAGAUACAGAGUAUAAGUUAUGUGAAAAACAUGGUAGAUCUGUUGAUAAUAUAAGUUAUGUGAAAAACAUGGUAGAUGUGUUGAUAAUGAAAUUCUAAAAUCUCCUAAAAAAUCAUUUAGAUUUUAUGACUUUCUAUACAUUCAAAGAAAACAAUUAACUCCAAAGUUGAUUUAAGAAUUCAAAAUAUAAGAAAAUAUGAAAAAUAUUUGAAGAAUAAUUUCGUGAUAUUGAUGGAUUAUAUUUAUUUUCAAAAUUUAAUAUCUUAAAAGAAAUGACAGAAUUGAAAAAUAAUAACUAAUUGACCUUCUAAAUCAUAUAAAAUAAAUAAAUUAUUUUCCAAAUAUAUAUAUAAGAGAGGGAUUACAGGUAAUAAAAUAAUAUAAAUAUUCUAGUACUACCAAUAUAAUCAAGAAAUUAAGGUGAAUGAGAAUUUAUAUUUUUUUUCUCCAAUCCAUAAAGAAAUGUUUUAAAAAAAAUCAUUAUAAAAGAUCGAUCUAUUAUAAAGUGGAUUUUAAGCUUAACUCAAUCCCAUAAAACUGGUUUAAUCCCAUAAAACUGGUUUAUAGGGUUGAGGAUUGCACCCACUUAUAUACGAUGAAAGACUCUAAUCUCUAGUCGAUGUAGAUUCCAACAUCAACCUCAAAUAAUAUUUCUUGUAAUUAAGAUCAAAACAGUAAACGAUUACAAUAUCGAUUGAUUUCGUUGAAAUGAUUUUUUUAAAACUAAAAGUUACUUAAUAUUAUCAACGAAACCCGAGGCUCACCUCUCCUUUGACCAUGUUAAUUCACAAUCUCUUUCACUAUGCCAUUAAAUGAGUUUGGAACAAGUUUUGUCUUUCUCACCGUCGUCAUGCUUCCCAAGGACCCAUUCACUUAACUCUUCGUGCGUUCCAAUGCAAACAAGUCAGGGUUUUGAUUUGCUUCCUACGAAUCCAAAAUUAGUAACUACAGAAUGUUGUUUGUUGUUGACUCUACAAAUUUAGGGUGGGAAAGAAAAGUUUAUAUCAUACUACUCCACUUCAUAUGCUACUUCAUUUGAUUUUUUUAUUGGUUGUUCUUUGAUGAAGUUUUUCAUUGCUGUUGAUGUUCUUGGUGGUUCUUUGGUCAAGGUGUCUAUUGCUACACGGUGUGUGGGUGAAUUUGUUGGUGACUAGAUUUUUUUGUUAUCAUGGGCUGGUGCAUAGUUGUACCUUUUUUUUUUCAUUGAAAAUUUAAUUUGUAUGGGUGAAAUCUAAACUAUAAAGAUGAUGAAAUUUGCUAAUUCUAGAAUACGUUGUGAUUUUGCAACUAUUUUAUUUUACUUCUACUAUGUGUGAAUUUAGUAAGGUUGAAACCAUCUUGAAAUCUUUUUUAUAUUUAUUUAAACUAUGAUUUGACUCUCGCUAUUUGUUUAUAUUUUAAUAUUAAUUAGGACUUAAUCCUCUUUAAGUUAGAGUAUGUUAAGGUUGCGACCUCUCUAGGUUAGAGUAAGCAAGGUCUUGAUCCUCUCUCUAAUUUAGAGUUAAAGUUUUCCAAUUUCCAAUAAACAACUCUUUUACGUUGUUAAGCCCACUCUAUUAACGAGAGUCCAAUCUACAUUAUUAGUUUCCACUUAGAGAGGACUUAUGAUUGUUAUAGGUUGACGUAAAUAAAAAAGUCAUUUUCAAUCCGUUCACGGUGUAUGGAACACUAUAUGUCCACAUUAAUUAUAAUGUAACGACUUCUUUUUCAAUUUUAGUCCAUCUUUGACUCAUGCUAUAGACAUUUUUCUUGUAAUUUGAUAACUUUGGAUAUUAGAAUGAGAAAUUUUUCUCGGUCAUCAUCCACUGAAUUUGAGUGUUGGAGUGACUAAUAACUCAAUUAAGGGAAACUUCAAAAUAUUAAUUCAUAAAUCACAUUUAUUAUAGAUAUAAAUGUAAAUUUGAGAAUAGGGAAUUAUGAUUGUAUUAAAAAAUAAAUAUUAUUUGUGUGUUUUUAUAACAUGAUUGAUAAAACUUACGUAACCAUUUAAAAUUAAAGCGAAAUAGGAUUAAUUGAGAAAUGUAUCGAUUAGCACAUGUAUGUUCUUUUCAACGGCUUUGGUGACCUAAUUAGAAAACGUCAAACUAUACUGGCAACCUAACUGGAAAACUUCAAACUAUACAGCCAUUCCAUUACUUGUGGAGUAAGGCAAAAAUGCCUUUGUGUUUACUUUUCUAGUAUACGUGCAAGUGUACAGGUCCACUAAUUUCGCAUAUGGUUCUUUCAUUGGCUUUUUAUUGAGUAUAGAUAUGAAAUAUAUUUGGUCCACGUCAAAAAGAAAAAGAAUUGAAAGCGAAACCAAAAAGCGAAAAAAAAAGUAGAAUUAGAAAAUUAAAUAAAUGUUGAAGUUAUUUGAUAAAAUAUAAAUAAUUAUGUUUUCUAUUUCAUUUCUCCUAUUGCAUCAUAUCACGUGACCUAUUUAUAUUCAUAUUGAUUUACUAGGAUUAAUAGUGUUGGAAAGGAAAUAUCAAUUUUGUUUCUUCUACAACUUAACAAUUAACUUAAAUGCUUGUUUGGUAUUGUUAUAAAUCUGAGACUUAGACUGAAAAGUGAAUUGUGAACUUAUGUUUAUUAUUAGAUUAAAAAGUGAGUUGUGAACUUAGGUUUAUUAUUAUAAAUUAUUUAUACUUAUUUUAUUUGUGUAGUAAGUUACGUGUGUUUUUAUUAGUUGAAUGGUGUUGGUUAUUAAUUAUGAUUUCUAUUAUUAAUACUGAUUUCACCGUUAUACCGUUAUUGUUUCAUUAAUGGUUAGUUUACUUAUUUCCUUCCAUUAGUUUCCUACAAUUGGUAUCAAGAGCUAGUCUGUUAUCAUGAACUCUACCCAAUUACUAGUCCUAUGGAAAAAAUUACAAUCAGUGGUGUGUGCAAAUGAGAGUUUUUUUUAUUAUUUAUUAUCAUGAGUUAUGGGAUGUCGUUGAGGGUGGAGUGGUUGCAUUAGCUGUUAAUGCAAUUGAGGCGCAACGAGUAGCGCAUCAUGAUGACAAUAAGGCUUUGUAUCUCAUCCAUAGGGAUGAAUGACAAGACGUUUGAGAAAAUAUAAGGAGCAACAACUGCAAGUGAUGCUUGAAUCAUUUUGUCAACCAAUUAUAAAGGGUGAUGACAAGAUCAAUAGGGUGCGUCUUCAAACCCUAAGACGCCAAUAUGAACUGUUGCAGAUGGAAACCACAUAGAUUAUUGAUGUCUAUAUAAAUAAAGUUCUUGCCUUGACAAAUCAGAUGAAAAGCAAUGGUGAAACACAUUCGGAGCAGGCAAAGGUGGAGAAGAUUUUGAGGUCUUUAACUCCCAGAUUUGAACAUGUUGUUGCCGCAAUUGAAGAGGCCAAUGACAUUUAAAAAAUGACAGUAGGGUUAUUGUCUGGUUACCUACCAGCGCAUGAGCAGCGAAUGAAUGACAAUAAUAUUGAAAAACCAAUUGAACAGGCUUUACAAGCACAAGACUCAAUUGGUAGCUCUUAUCAUAAACACGGUAGUUCACGAGGCAGAGGACGGGGACAUGGUGGUAGCUAUUCCAGCAAAGGUCGUGGUGGCUAGAAUCAUGGAGGCGCUGAGCAAAAUAACAUUGGUUUCAAUCACAUUCCAAGUUCAAAUAACUCUUGACGUGGAGAACGUGAUCGCGGAGGAUGAGGAGGCAUUUAUAAUAAAUCAAAUGUGGAGUGUUAUAACUGUCAUAAACGCAACCAUUAAGCAAAUGAGUGCAGAUCAAAAAGUGAUAAUCAUGCUGCCAAUUGUGCUCAAGAAGACAGUAAUCACGUACAAGAUGAAGAGGAUCAUGCAUAACUAAUGACAGCCACAUCAAAUGAAACUCCAAACAAUCAGACUUGGUAUUUGGAUACAGGUUGCACAAAUCAUAUGUGUGGUCAAAAGGAGUUGUUUGCAUAUUUGGAUGACUCAUUUUGCACAAAAGUGAAAUUCGGUGAUGGCAGGGUCGUUCCGGUGACUGGAAAAGGGCGAAUUCUUAUCACAUUGAAGAAUGGUGAUCACAGGUACAUAUAUGAUGUUGUCUAUGUACCUGAUAUGAAAAGUAAUUUGUUGAGUAUGUGACAACUGGCUGAGAAGGGUUAUGUGAUGUACAUAGUUGAAAAUAAAUUCUCAAUUUUUGAUAAAAAAUGUAGUUUGAUUCUUAAAACCUUUUUAUCAAAAAACCGUAUGUUUCCAGUAGAUAUUCAUAUGGGUGACUUCAAGUGCUUGAAUGCAAUAGUGAAUAAUGAAUCGUGGUUAUGGCAUUUACGCUUUGGGCACUUAAAUUUUCAGAGUUUGGAAAAUCUCUCCAAACGAAAUUUAGUGAAUAGUUUACCCCAUAUUUAUCACCCUGAUCAAUUGUGUGAGACUUGCAUUUUUGGAAAGAAUCACAGGAUACCAUUUGUUAAGGAGCCUUGGCGUGCAAAAUUUCCUUUGGAGCUUGUUCAUAUAGAUGUUUGUGGCUCAAUGAACAUAUCAUCAGUUGGAGGUAAUAAGUAUUUUUUAACCUUUAUUGAUGAUUUUUCAAGGAAAACCUGGAGUUAUCUAUUGAAAAGCAAGGAUGAGGUAUUCCACUGCUUUAAAAUAUCAUAUUUAAAGCAUUUGUUGAAAGACAGAGUGGCAGACAAAUUAAGAUGAUGCGUAGUGAUGGAGGGGGUGAGUACAAGUCUAAUGAGUUCAAGAGGCACUGUGAAGAACUUGGAUUGCAACAUAACAUAACAUGUCUCUACACACCUUAACACAAUGGAGUUGUCGAGAGAAAGAAUAGAACAAUCAUGGACAUGGCGUGGAGCAUGCAUAAAGCGAAAGGUAUGCCAAAUUAUUUUUGGGCUGAGGUCGUAACAUGUGCGGUAUAUUUGAUAAAUAGAUCACCCACUCGGAGUGUUCCUAACACAACUCCGAUUGAGGCAUGGAGCGGAUUCAAACCCAAUGUGCAACACUUGAAGGUAUUUGGGUCUAUUACUUAUGCUCAUGUCCCCAAAGCAGCAAGAUCGAAGUUGGAUGAUAAGGCAGAGAAGACCAUUUUCAUUGGAUAUAAGCAUGGGGGAUACAAAUUGUACAAUCCAAUGACAAAGAAGGUGAUUGUUAGUUGUGAUGUUACAUUUGUCGAAGAUGAGGAAUGGCAAUGGAAUGCAACAGUUGAAAUUGAUUAAAAAAAAACGAUAUAUUUACGUUUUGAACGAUGAUGUGGAAGAUGGAGUCACUCUUGAAGCACCUGCAGUUCAACCAGAAGCUGCAAUUCAACCUGAAGUUGCAAAUCCAAUUGCAACUAUGAUGGAGCGACCAAGAAGGCAGCAACGACAACCUGUACACCUUCAAGAUUGGCGAAGUAAAUCUUGAUGAUGAAGUUGAUGACAAUGGAGAUUUGGUUCACUUUGUUUUUCUUGCAGAUUCAGAACCCAUGAGACUUGCAGAUGUCAUUCAACACCCCAAAUGGCAGAAGGCUAUGAAUGAAGAAUUGAUGGCGAUUGAGAAAAACAAUAUCAUGACUCAAAUUUGUUUUAAUCCAGAUAUUCCAAUUAAGAUUUAUGUUGACAAUGUCUCUGCAAUUAAUCUUGCAGAGAAUCCAGUUUUUCAUCAAAUAAGUAGUCACAUUGAUAUUCGAUAUCACUUCCUGCGAGACCAAGUUAAGAAGAACAUGAUCAAAUUGGAAUACUACAGAUCAGAAGAUCAGAUUGCAAAUAUUUUCACUAAGCCAUUGAAGAUCAAUGCUUUCAUCAAGUUAAGAAAUCUGUUGGGUAGGAAGGUUGCUCCAAAUCAGAAUUAAGGGAGGAUGUUGGUUAUUAAUUCUGAUUUUAUUAUUAUUAAUUCUGAUUUUAUUAUGCUUAAACUAUUUUACCGUUAUUAUUGCAUUAAUGGUCAGUUAGUAUUCCUAUUUUAUAACUUCCAGUAUUUGUAAUUUUAUUAUAUAUAUUAUAUAUAUUAUUGAGUAAAUCAAAAUAUAUGAUACCAGCUCAACAGUUUUGCAAUCUUGUGCAAUUACCUUCAAUCAGUUUCUACAACAUUUUGCCUUCUCUUAUUUCCUUCAAUUAGUUCCUACAAAUGAGAAUAUAAUUAAUAUAAUUAUUUAAUAAGAAACUUAUAUACCACCUCAAGUUAUUUUGGAGUCAAAAUAUUAUAGGAAUGGUUAUCAAUGAAUGAUUUACUAAAAGUGGUAAAUUUUCUUGAGGUUUUAUGAAUGUGAAACCUAAAUAUGUAAAUUUUGAUAGUCAAAAGACUAAUCCCUUUAAGAAUUAAUAUAUUUCAAUAAAAGUGAUUGGAUAUGGUUUUAGUUUGGAGUCAACAACUUAAAGAGACUUGUGUCAAUGUGUAAUCUAUUCUAAUCCACAUAGGUUGAACUCCUAUUAAGGAUACAUAAAUUUUUAAUCUGAUCAACAAGCUAAAGAGAUUGUAUUAAAAAUAUUUCAGUAGUCUAACAGUGGUUGCGAAUUCACGUGAUAUGUGUAGCUCUCAAAGUAAAUAACUUGUUUUCCAAGCUAUCCAAAGAGAUCAAUAUACUUGUCUCCCAAGAGAUUUAUUACUACCCAUGUCAUUUAGACACAAAUAUUUAUGAUAUUGGUAAAAUUAAAAAAAAAUAACUUUACCUACAAAUAGUUAAAAUAUUUGAAAUAAGUGAAGUAAAUGAAUAAUAUAAAUUUAUUCAGAGAUUAUUUAUUAUGAUAAACCUAAUUUAUUUUAAAAGAAUAUAUGACUAAUACAUUUUUUACUUACUCAAAUAUAGUUUAAUUUAUUUUAAAAAAAAUCCAAAAGCUAAAACUUUAGAACAUAAUAUUUUAAAUGUUUUACUUUACACGUGUAAUCCUUAACUAUUUAAAUGUUAUACAAUUAUUAUAGAUAUAAUAACUAUUUUAAAGAAAAUAUUUUAUUUAUUUUAUACAUUUUUCUUACAACAACAAAAUAAAAACCAUAGAUAAAUCCCACUCUUUUAGUGUUUUUUUUUUCUUUCUCUUUUCUCAAUUUGCCAAUUUGCCGUCAUUGUUGAAGAUCUCACCCACUAAUCAAAGUCAUAUUUGAUGUGAAUGUUCUCUUCAAUUCAAAGUUUAUCUUAAUAUUAUGCUAAACUUAGACUUAGUCUAAACCUUACUGACUUGAUUUCAACUUUUCUUUAUAUUUCUUCUUUUUAUACAUAACUUUUCAAACUUUUAAUCUUACACAAAAAGCAUGUCAUUCUUCUCUGACAACAUUUUAUUUCAAUUUUUCUUGAUGGUGUGCUUCAUUUGAAAUUUCAUUUUACUUUAUAUUUCAAUUUUGCUCAUAAGUUAUGAUUGGAGUUUAUUCUAAUUUUUUCCAGUGUCUUAAUAUUUUUCCAUAGUGUGUUUGAUUUUUUAAUUUUCUAUGCAAAAAUUAGUGUUAAUAAUUGUGUCUAACUUUUCUUGUACUCUGUCCUUUAGUUUGAAUGCUUCAUCCUCUGUUCUGCUUCUAAUUUUUCUUAUAUUUUAUCCUGUGUUUUGAAUGCUUAAACUUUUACACUUGUUUUAACCUGUUUUGCUAUUAAUUGUUGUUUACUUGUUGUGAUAUAAGGUUUGCGUGAUUAGUUAGUUGAUGGCAUACAAGUAAUGAAGAACUUUUAAGUAACACAGUUAGUUAAUACUCAAUUAUUAAAAUAUUGCAAGACAUUUCUUAAAAGUGUUUUAUGUUUUAUGUAAUUGUAUUUACCUAUAAUGAAGUUGAUAGCGAAAGAAAUAUUUAAUACUUUUUUUUUCUUUUUUUUUUCUUUUGGAAGGAAUCGAGGGAUACAAACUAUAUCUUCAUAUAUGGAAAAUUAAUUUAGUUAUAUCAGUUGCUAAGUGAAGAUCAAGAUCAUUUGUUUAUUAGUGUGUACGUAUUGAUGUGUUUUGGGAUUAUUAAAAUUUGACGUGUUUGAUAAAGAGUGAUUUAUUCAUAAGUAAACUAUGUUUUGGGAUUAUUAAAUUACGUAUUGAUACUUUUAUUUUCGUGAGGGGAAUGCAUGUGCUGAUAAGUUGACUAAUUUAGGGUUCAUUCAUAGAUAAUCAUUUUAUUGGUAUAAUAGACUUCUAUCUAGUAUGUUCUUAGAAUUCUUUAUGAAUAGGUAUAGUCUACCUAUGUAUCGUUUUUGUUAACAUGUGAGUUUUGGUCUAAUCCUCCCAUAUUUUGGUAUUUUUUUUCUUUUUUUUAAUAAUAUGUUUUUCAUGUGAUGGCAGAUGAUUGUUGUUACUUGAGGUGUCAGCCUAGCUGAGAUGUCAAGUUGCAUAAUGAUGUCUAACAUGGAAAAUUUUAUAAAAAAUAAAAAAACAAAAAAAAACUAUGGUUUUUGUUAUUGAGAAAUUGUUUUUAAGAAAGUGUUGAUUACAAAUUACUAUUUUUUUUAAAAAAAAAUUGUUUUGAACAUCGUAACAUCUUUUUAAUGAAAAAUAUUUAUUGCAUAUAGGGGCUUUUAACAAGUUUGGAAUUGAGUGGAAAUUGGUGUUGGUUUAUGUUGCAAGUUGAUGGUUGAAUCAUAUUCAUAGAUAGAGUUGGUACUUUUUAAUAAUGUAAUUUAGUAUAUUAUUGAUAUUUUAAAAUGAUAAAGAGUGUGUGUAUAAUCUCAAUAAUAUAUGAUUUAAAUGUAUUAAAAAUUGAACUUUAAACAUAAAUCAACUUUAAAAAAUCGACUCAUAAGUUAAGGUUUGCACUUACUUAUAUAUUAUGAAAUGUUUUUAUCUUUGGUCGAUGUAGGAUUUUCAACAUUUCCCUUCACGUCAAGAUCUAUCAAUUCGUGUGUGAAACUAUAUAUUUAUAGGUGGUCAGAUAGCAACCGACCUUAUAAGUCUAACAAACUCUCAUUAGGAUAAACUGUAAAUGACUCUAAUACCAUAUUAAGAAGUGAAUUUUAAGCUUAAUUCAAUUUUAUAAAAUCAAUUCAUAAGGUAAUAUUUACACUCACUUAUAUAAUAUGAAAUGUUUUUAUUUCUAGUCGAUCUGAAAUCUCGAACAAAAUGUGAAAAUAUUCAAUUUUACAAGUAUGAUUAUUAUAAUUAUUAAAUAGGAGAGAUAUGAUUAUUAAGAUCUCAUUACUUGUAUUAUAAAAAAAACCCACGAACUAAAUUUUGUAUUGAUAAAAACUUGAGGAUUGUGGUUGAAAAGGCAGAACAAUUGUAAGAAUUAUCUUUUCAAGCAUAAUACAAAGUAUUUCUUUGUAAUUGAUAAAAAUUUAAACUGACACAUCAAAUAUUUAAAUUAUAUUAUUGAAAAUGGGUUCAUAGAUGAUUUAAAGAAGUAUAUGGUACAAGUUGAAAAUUUAAGAGGUUUUAAAGCAAUAAUAAUCAUAAAAUUUGGAGGAAUGACGUCCAUUCAAAAGUGAUAGGAUGAAAAAAGAAAGACAUGUAUGUUGUUUUAAUAGACUUCCACCAACUAAAUAUUUAAAUAUCUCAUCUCAAAAUUCUAUAACAGAGAAUAAGAUUAACAAUUUAGAAAAGAUUUUUAAAAAUCUUUUAUCUUUUCUUUAGAAAACAUUUUUAAAAAUCUUUUAUCUUUUCUUUAGAAAACAUUUUUAAAAAUCUUUUAUCUUUUCUUUAAACAUGAUGAGUGGUAAUUGUUCUUGCCAACAAUGUGGAAUCACAUCUUCAAGGUAGUCUCCGAACAAUCUUUCGGUAUUGUAGUCCUUGAGUGCUUGAAGAUCACCAAGUGAUGAGGGGAGCUCCACUCGUUGACAAGACUUCGACAAUCAAAUCAGUGAGAACAUUAAAUAUUUCAAUGUAGUAUGUAUUGCAUAGAAUAAUACUUGUCUUUGUUUGGGGACUCAUGACCCUUAUAUAGGACUCGUAGAUCCUUUUUUAGGAGUUUGUAAUCAGACACUUCCUUUGAACUUUUAGUUACACGAUUCGAUUUGUUGGACUCGAUCCGACUGACCCGAAAACGUCUAUUGAGUCCGAUCCAUUGGACCGAAAACACCCGAUCCACAUUAUCGGGUUCUACCCCGAUCUUGACUGAACGAUACAGUAAUAUACAAAUUGUAAAUAAAAAAUAAAAAAUAUAGUAAUUACAUUUAAUCAUCUAUAAAAAAAUUUAAUACUAAUAUGAUAUUUUAAAAAGAUAUUUUUUUCGGAAACACUUGAUGAUGAUGGAAGGAUUGAAAUUAUUCUAAUAGUAAUGUUUAAACACAGUAAAAAAAAGUCAAGUGAUAUGAUAAUGAUUGAAAAUUUACUUUUAAAUACAAUUAUCAUUUUUUACUAUAAGAUCAAUUUUUUUAAUGUGAUUACAUAUAUUUUAUAAAUGAUGUGGAUUUUUAUGGCCUGUACACAUCAUUAAUGAGUGAGAUAAUAUGUUUAAUCAUUUGCCAUUUAAUUUUUAGUACUUUCAAUGAACAAAUGAGAUUCAUAUGUAAGAAAUUUAGCAUCGAUUAUGACUCAUAGGACACAAAAUGUAUUUCAUUGAGUUGAGUGUGGUAUUUCAAUACCUAAUUAAUAUUUUUUUUGUCAUUAGUAAUUUGGUAUUGAUUUAAAAUCGAAAUUGUUGUUGACUAUUAAGAUUUAUUUGCUUUUGUAACUAUUAUGUUUUCCUCUUAUAAAUUUUGUUUAUAUUUUAGAUUAUAAAGUUGUUGUAAAACAUUGCAAAAACUUUUCUUAGUGGUUUUUAUCUAGUACAAUCAUUUAUAUUUUAGUGGACUUUUAUUGAAUUGAAUACACCCUACUCCAAUAGCCUAUGACGAGUCACACAAAUUUCAUUUGACAACAAAGAAUCUAUAGGGACAAAAAGUGGAACUUAUAGAGAAUCUUUAAAUUCAAAUUGAUAUUUUGAAUAAGUGAACAAAAAGUUAAACCCAUUUAUUAUAGCCAUUGUUUCCAAAAAUAUUUAAUAGUGAAUAUUUGAGCAAAUAAUGUAGAAUGUAUUAUAGCUAAAGACAAACAUCAUAUUAUUGUUUGGUACACGGAAAAUGUUAUAUUAUCACAAUUAUCGGUAUAUAUUAAUAAAUUUAUUCUCAAAAUUUUAACUAAUAAAUUUAUUCCACCAUUUUAUACAUGGACUAUAAUGAUAGAUUGUUAAAUGCCCUUAAAAUUUUACAUCACACUUUAUAUAGUAAAAAUAUUAUCAUGAUAUCUAUUACAAUGAAAGAAUGACAUAAACAAAAAUAUUUUGGUAUUAAAAUAUUAACGAAAAAUAAUAAAUUAUAUGGUAUUAUUAGUAAAGUAAGGAACUAAAAAUUAUUGAAGUUUUUGUGGAAUAAACUCAUACGGAAUAAUAUGUCAAAAAAAUUAAUUGAACUUAACAAUUGUUUUUUAUUAGCUAUAAGAAUGAAAUUAAUAAAGAUAUAUAUUUUAGAGAUAUAUUAACCUUAUACAAAAUCAUCAUUAUCAAACUUUCAUCUUGCAUUAAGUCUAUAAUGAUAUUAUACUCAAAACAGAUUAAUCAUACUAAAAACCACAACAUAAUCUAUUAAUCCAAACUUCUUAAAAAUGAUGUUCUUCUCAUAUUGAAUAUAUAGUUUUUAUUGAAGUUAAUAGUAACUCAUCAUGAUUAAAAAACAUGUUGUUUAGAGUUAAUUUUGUUUGAUAGACAAUUAUAUCAUCUAACUAUAUUACUUUAUUGUGUAAUUCCACUAUAUUGAUAUAAGUCUCAAUUUGAUGUACGGGAAAAGAUAGAAAAGAAAGAAAUGGGAGGAGUACAUUUGUUUAGUUAAUUAAAAAAGCUAAAUAAAUAUGUUUAAAAAAUUGUGAAACUGUGAAGUAUAUGAUAAGAAAAUCUGAACUUGUAAAUAUUUAUAACUAAAGUCUGCAAAAAGUAUAAAUAUUUUAAUUAUUUAUUUGUUAAAAGAGUGAAUAUGGAUAUCAUGCUAUUUAGUUAGCGAAUGUUCACUGUCCAUUAUUAAUUAUUUUUAUUUGAAUAUAUUUUUUAAUUAAGCAAUUGAGUAAAAUUAUUAACGAGAAAACAUUAAAAAUUGAUGAAUUAUUUAUAACUUAAUUUUAUAAAUGUAUAGUUUUUAUUUAGACUUGUGGAGCUAAAAUUAUCUUCAAAAGAUUAAUUUUAUUUAAAGUUAUAUUGUGAAGAAUUUUUUUAGAAUGAUUAAUUUUUUUCUAAUAAUAGCUUAUGAAACAUUUUUAUUAUAAUUAUACAUUAAUAUCAAUAUUUUAUCUUAUUUUAUUUUAUGUUUUAAAGAAUAAUUUUUAAAUAAUAUUAUUUUCUUAAAAGAAGGAUCCACGUGUAUCUAUUGAAAUAGGCAAGUAUUUUAAAUAACAUUAUAUUUUUUUAGUAGAAAUACUUCUUCAUAAGAUUUAUUUAUAAAUAACAAGUCACUUUAGAUAUGGUUAUCUCCUACUUCCAUAUCAAUGUAGACUCUUAUAUGUGUGACGUCAUUUAUUAUGAACUUGAAAUGUACUAUCUUAAGUGUAUCCUAUAGAAAACACCAUCACAUUCAAGUCAAAUAAUAUAAAAAUUAAGUAAUAAAUGAAUAAUACAUAUUUUGAGAUCUUCACCAUUAACUUUUAUUUAUAUCGAGUAUCGGUGGUUAAAUAUGACUUUAGUAUUGAGUUAAGAUUUUAAUAAUAAAAAUAUAGUGUAAGGGAAAAUAAUGUUAAUAUUUUAAUACUUUUGCGUGUUGAAAGAAAGAAAACAAAUCUAAAAAUAACUAUAGUUUAAACUUCGUUAAUUUUAAUAAAAAGCAUCUUCAAAACCGUAUUUAGUAGUAUAUAUAAUUGUAUUAUUUCCAGUUAUUUAUUUUAUUUUGUAGAUGCUUUCUAAAUUUAAAGGAAGAACCCAGACUUUAACCAAAACAUAUUUCUAUCCAAAAUAAAUGUAUGGUUAUGGGAAAAAAUAGCCUACAAUUGAUCAUACAAUCCAUUCAUUAAAUAAUGGAGUACAAUACAAUGUGCUAUAAUGAACCCAACAACGUCUUGUUCUAGGUUUUGUAUAUUCAGUCAUUGAUUUCUAAAUUUUUAUAUGAAUGUUUACAAUAAUAUUUCAAGGUCAAGUUAGUACUUCCUCCGAAUAAAGAAUAUAAAGUAAAAAAAGUUAAGAAUUCAUUAAUUAAUACUUAGUUUGAAGAAAAAACAUAUAAUAAAAAGUUAUAUAUUUAUUAUUUUCAAUUCACCUAUUUAUAACGGUAUUCUUCUAGUUAAGAAGAAUGUCUUCCAACUAAAGAUUUAGUUUAGUCAAAAAUAGUUAUUUCCAACUAAAUUGUAGUUCUGUCUCAUACCAUCAUCUUCCUCUUUUAUUUAAUAAUUAUUUCUCUAUUAUAGUAUUUGUCUCAUUCUUAGAUACAUUCUUAGAUUAAUUACAAUCUCGCAUAUUCAGUUAAUGUUUGUCACUUUCAAUAAAAAAAAUAAAAAAAAAUUUCAUUAUUUUAAUAAAUAGAUCAAUAUCAUAACCGUUUUCAUCUAUUAUUGGAAUCGACUUAUGAUCUCACAGUUCUCAAAUUCCAACAUAAUCCAAUGAGACUAAUAAGAUCAUGAAGUAAUUAAUUAUAGGAUGUAUCUUAAAUUUUGACUGAAAUCCAUACCAUUGAGGUUGAUGCAAAAGUUCACAUAUACUAUUAUACCUCAUCUAUAGAAAUGAUUAAUUGAGAUCCAAAUAGACUUAGAUGCGCUUAAUCAUAAUUUAUAUAUUGUUUACUUUACUCUACUUAUUAAUUAUAUUAUUACACCCUUAAUUUCACUUUAGAGAUACUUGCAUCAUUCAGUGGUGAGAUGUUGGGAUAUCGAGUGUGAUAUCGACACCUCAUAUAUUCCGGUACAAUGCAUUUGAGGAAAAUAAAAACCGAUCAUAUGUAUAAUUUUUUGUUUUCUUCCAUGCUUGGUUGUCACUUAGGUCAAUUCAGCACGAACCAACAUACUCCAUUUCAUCUUCUCAUAAAUCGAAGACAAUAAUUCCAGGAAAUGAAAAUGGGGUAUGUUAAUAAAGAAAAAAAAUAAGAGAAAAUUGCACAUAAAUAAAAUUCAAUUGAGUUCUUAAAUUACAAUGAUAUUGAAAAGAGUAGAAAUAUAUAGUUAAUUUGGUGAAUAAACAAAGUAGGUUGGAAAAAUGCGAUGAAAGCAUGAUAAGAUAGUUGUGGUUGUCUGUGGAAAUGCGAAACCCCUCUUUCUUGUUUUGUUUUGCACAUAUUUUACAAGCAAAUCCGACAAACAGAAAGAAUUGCAUAAGUCCAAACCUACUGGUAUUAUUUAGACGUUAAUAAUUGCCAGCUUUUGCCAGCUCCUACUUCAUCAUUAAAAUAUAAUUUAAAAAAAUAGACACAGAAACAGUAGUGAAGACUUUGCUCCUCAGUCCCAAAAAAUGACAACGGGAUACACUGGAUUUCCACACUUUCUCACAUGCUCGUCUUUUUCAUUUUCUGCCACGUGUAUUGUAAUGUAGCAAGGUCCCUCUGGUUCCAGCUGCGCAAACCUCACUCUCUUCCUUCAUCAUCAUCAUCAUCAUCAUCUUCUACCACUACAGCCACAAUAAACAUGCAUACCGUAUUUUUUCUUUUCAAAUAUUAUACGUAUACUUUUUGAUAUUUUAUUUCCGUUUGAGUUGAGUAGUUGUUCUCCAUUUGCAACGGUUACCUAAUAUUAUUCUCUGUUUCCAUCUACCCCAUUAUCAACUACGUAUUGCAUAUAAAACAUUAGCGAUAAUGAAAGAAAGGGUCAUGUAUCUGCUUUCUCAAUCAUUAAUGCAAAAUUACCGAAUUUAAUGAUGUUACCAUUACGAAUGGAGAAAGGGUCAAACCAAAAAUAAAAAGUGCACCUUUUCAACUGGCGGACAAAGGACGAGACACGAGUGGCAUCAACGCGGGUAAAGCACCCCGCGUUUUACUACCAGACGGAACCCAUCAACGGGCUAUAAAGGACACACGUGUGAGUUCUAGAUCAACGGUCAAAACACAAGGGCACUCUAGUAAUAUCGUUAAACGACUUUAUGAGUUGUUGAAAAGUUAUGGUCUUUCCGAGGAAAGAAAAAGUAAAAAAUAAUAAUAAAAAUGGAUUUUUUUUCAUUAUUUUCAUAGUACACAUUUUGUUUUCAUUAAUGGAAUUUUAAAUUGUAUUAUUUUUUGUUGUUAGAACAAACAGAGGGCUAGAGUGAAAAUAAAUUUAACGGGGAGAGGAGAGAGAGUGGGAAGCAUAUGAGAAUAGGAAGAUGGGUGGAAAAAACGCCGUACAGAGGGGUGGCGGAUGACAGCGACUGCUCACUGACCCACAUAACUGACACGUGUCCUGACGCAAAAGGGUGUGGAGGUAAUAUUGAGCAAGCAUAAUGGAGAAAAAGGCAAAGAAGGAACACACAUUAACAAAAAUCAAUUGGGCAGAAGAUCCACAUAUGCCAGCUAAUAUUUUGCACAUUUACAGAAAGAGAGGAAAAAUUGUAGUAGAGGCGGAAGAAAGUUGAAAUGAAGAUAAAAUAAAAAAAAAGAAUAAAGAAUAAAAAAGUGGGAAUGGAGAGUUAAGUGUUGACCCAUUAUUAUUACUCACAUCACACCGGCCUGACCUAGUCCAGGGUAUUAGGGAAGAUGAGGAAUGGGGACAGGCAGCAUAGAAGGAGUAGAUGCACAUCACAACAUAUAAAAAUAUUAAUAUAUAUAGUAAGGUUGGGAAAAUAAUGAGAUAAAAAAAAUUGUGUGUGAGCAUAUAGAAGGAAAUUAAAUUAGGACAUUGGAGUUGGAGGAAUCUUUGAGCAUUAUUGAUGCAUUAAUCGCCACUCCUUCAACGGUUCAUAUCUUACCUCUUUUUAUAUAUUCUGUUCCCUUAUCAUCUUCCACUGCUCAACUCUCUCUCUCUCUCUCUCUAACACAAGCUUCCGUUUUUCUGUUUCUCUUCUCUCUACUCAGAACAUGGGUUCUUCUGCAGUACAAUUGUUUCUCAUCUUGGGGCUUCUGGCUACUUCUUGCAUAGCACAAGCCCCAGGUGGCGCACCCACGCAGCCUCCCACAACCACCCCACCACCACCGCCCGCAGCAGCACCAGUACCUGCACCCACUGCACCCGCAACUCCACCACCAUCUUCACCACCACCUGCACCCACACCCGCACCCACACCAACUGCUCCCACUCCUGCUCCAGCUUCUUCUCCUUCAUCUGCUGCAUCUCCCUCAGCUGAGUCACCAGGCUCUCCUACAUCUCCCCCAGCACCACCGGCCCCCUCAUCUGCACCUUCACCCUCAGUCAGCGAACCACCACCCUCACCCUCCUCCGCAUUCUCCGUUGGCAAGGCCUUCGUUGCCGGGUCUGCGCUCGCGGGAACCUUCGUAGCCAUGGUCUUGGCUUGAAGACAGACCUGACGGUUGGGAUUCGUCCACGUGGAGGCUCUUGGGCCCUUGAUCUUGUUUUACAGCGACGGACGGACGGACGGGAUCUGUUUCAUUUAUUUUAUCCUCUGGUCUUGUUGAGUAGCGGUUUUCUUUUUCUCUCUUUGGGGUUUUAUGUGUUAGUUUUGUUCGUUCGUGGUUGAUGUGUUUGUUGAUUCGAUAUCUGGGAGGGUUGGGUGUUGAUGAUGAUGAUGAUGAUGAUGAUGAUGGUGAUGGUAUUCAUGAUUAUGAUGAUUAUUUUGUGAUUCAUUGUUCUGGUGUUCACACGUGUACGUAGAUGACCUUGAUGAUUUCAUUGUACAUCUAAUAAUUGAAAGAAUAAAACAGUUUGUCAUU
Molecule: long non-coding RNA, 21278 nt
Filed under: Phaseolus vulgaris (common bean)
Lineage: Eukaryota; Viridiplantae; Streptophyta; Magnoliopsida; Fabales; Fabaceae
Description: long non-coding RNA (PVUL_LNC004533)
Source: RNAcentral